This 512-nucleotide ribosomal RNA is filed under the name uncultured bacterium. Its description in RNAcentral is "partial 16S ribosomal RNA". It matches the Rfam family "Bacterial small subunit ribosomal RNA", at positions 28 to 523 of the family's 1533-position model. The record is from RNAcentral.
GACGAACGCUGGCGGCGUGCCUAAUACAUGCAAGUCGAGCGGAACUGGGGGAGCUUGCUCCUUCCAGUUUAGCGGCGGACGGGUGAGUAACACGUGGGCAACCUGCCCUGCAGAUCGGGAUAACUCCGGGAAACCGGUGCUAAUACCGAAUAGUUUGGCGCCUCUCCUGAGGCGCUACGGAAAGACGGUUUCGGCUGUCACUGCAGGAUGGGCCCGCGGCGCAUUAGCUAGUUGGUGGGGUAACGGCCCACCAAGGCGACGAUGCGUAGCCGCCCGGGGAGGGUGACCGGCCACACUGGGACUGAGACACGGCCCAGACUCCUACGGGAGGCAGCAGUAGGGUAUCUUCCGCAAUGGACGCAAGUCUGACGGAGCAACGCCGCGUGAGUGACGAAGGUUUUCGGAUCGUAAAACUCUGUUGUGAGGGAAGAACACGUACCAACUAACUAUUGGUACCUUGACGGUACCUCGCCAGAAAGCCACGGCUAACUACAUGCCAGCCGCCGCCGUAA